This 468-nucleotide ribosomal RNA is filed under the name uncultured bacterium. RNAcentral describes it as "partial 16S ribosomal RNA". It matches the Rfam family "Bacterial small subunit ribosomal RNA", at positions 28 to 507 of the family's 1533-position model. The record is from RNAcentral.
GACGAACGCUGGCGGCGUGCUUAACACAUGCAAGUCGAACGGAAAGGCCCUGCUUUUGUGGGGUGCUCGAGUGGCGAACGGGUGAGUAACACGUGAGUAACCUGCCCUUGACUUUGGGAUAACUUCAGGAAACUGGGGCUAAUACCGGAUAGGAGCUCCUGCUGCAUGGUGGGGGUUGGAAAGUUUCGGCGGUUGGGGAUGGACUGGCGGCUUAUCAGCUUGUUGGUGGGGGAGUGGCUUACCAAGGCUUUGACGGGUAGCCGGCCUGAGAGGGUGACCGGCCACAUGGGGACUGCGGUACGGCCCAGAGGCCUACGGGAGGCAGCAGGGGGGAAUAUGGCACAAUGGGCGGAAGUCUGAUGCAGCAACGCCGGGGGCGGGAUGACGGCCUUCGGGUUGUAAACCGCUUUCGCCUGUGACGAAGCGUGAGUGACGGUAAUGGGUAAAGAAGCACCGGCUAACUACGUG